This 440-nucleotide unclassified non-coding RNA is filed under the name Hevea brasiliensis (rubber tree). The record is from RNAcentral. Lineage: Eukaryota; Viridiplantae; Streptophyta; Magnoliopsida; Malpighiales; Euphorbiaceae.
AUUUAAGUGUUGUAAAAAUAGAGAAUUAAAAAUAACAAUAAAUUAUUCACUUACACAUGGAGUAAUUAUAAUCUUAUAUGACAUUUGAAUUUCAUUUUUUUUUUUGAACCAAGAGAUAGAAAGAUGGUGGAGUUUAUGCCAAACCAACAACUCUAUGUAGUAAUUGUAAUCUUGUUUAACAUUCGUGUAAAUUUGUUCCUCAGACAAGAAGUCUAAAAGGAGAGUUUCAAUGCUAAGCAACCCUUCUGAACUUCGAACUAAUUUUGCAUGUCCAGAGACUCGAUCCUUUAGAAUUUGGCAUCUCUUAUCAGAACAAGCCUUUCUGUUGUGGAGGACUGAAAGCUACUUGCAAAAUUAGGAAUUGAAAGAACCCAUCGUUAGCAUCCAAACAAUUAACGCAGGGUUCGAAUAAGUGCCUAGAGAAGGAUAAAAAAAUUGAA